Molecule: long non-coding RNA, 2220 nt
Filed under: Bemisia tabaci
Lineage: Eukaryota; Metazoa; Arthropoda; Insecta; Hemiptera; Aleyrodidae
Description: lncRNA ENSASIAIIG002971
Source: RNAcentral
UGGGUAUAUUGUCUAUUCACUGGAAGGAUCACCUCUUAUUUAAGUGCAUCGCAAUAAAGUUAAAAUAAGUUGCAGUUAUAUUGUAUUGCAAAUUGCCUACCUUUCUCACACAAAGGACUCAUUUUUUUUAGUGUUCUUGGGUAGCACAACUUGAUGCAAUCUUUGUGAGGCAUGUUUUUGUGUUUUUGCCUGGUUCCAUUGUCUUGAAGUCUAUUUUUUGUCUAUUGCUUUCACAGGAAUGGAUCCUGAAUGAAUAGCUGUAUAGAUCAUGCCUCCUGCGAAGAAGAAGAAACGCACGAUUCCUCAAACAAAAUCAAAAAAUUCAAGCAUCAGCAACAAAUUUAAGCAGGAGGCACCAGUUCAAGUGAGGAAGAAUGAAGUCAGCGGAAGAAAAAGGAAAGGACGUAUUAUGCGUAAAGUUAUGUCAUCGACAAAUCGCCUUGAAGAAAGUAGUAAAUCAGCGUCUAGCGAGAGGUAUCAUGAUCAAUCUGUAACAGCAGAGGACAGCCUGAAUCACCGAAAAAUAUUUGGGAAAAUGAGGAGAUCAGCAAUGGCCAAAGCCAUAUGGAAAAAACGCAAGAAAGAGAUGGGACCAAUCUCCAAAAAAAUUAACAGCAAUAAGGAAGGAUGUAGUCAAAAUGAAGGUGAUGAGAUUUCAAACAAUGUUGAUAUUAUUGAUAAACCGAGCAGAUCUUCAAUAGCCAAAGCCAUAUGGGAGAAGCGCAAGAAAGCAACGACACAAGUCUCCAACAAAAUUGACACUAUUAAUGAAGAAAAUAGUCGGAAUAAAGAUGUUGCAAACUCAAACAAUGUUAAUAUUGUUGGCAAGCAAAGCAGGUCCUUGAUGGCCAAGGCCAUUUGGGAAAAGCGCAAGAAAGCAAUGGCACAAGUUUCAAACAAAAUUGAUAUCAGUAAUGACGGAAAUCAUUAUAAUAAAAAUGUUUGGAGUUUAAACAGUAUUGUUGUUAAAGAAGAGCCACAAUCAAACUUUAAUGAGUCCAUGAAUCUGAUAUCAGAUACAAUUUGUCUGAAACCAGCUGUACCUCAAGAAACAGAACGUCAACUUCGGGCGAGGGGAUCGGGGAAAACAGUGAUGCAAGAACAGCCUCCUCAAGUACCUUUACAAGGCCCUAUAAAUACAUGUCCCAUUUCUUCAGAUAAAGUUGCCACCAACGAUAUAAUUAAUUGUAGAAUAAAUUUGGAAAUUAAGCAAGAGCUUAUAUCAGACAAUGAAAAUUUAAUCAAUUACAAUUGCACCCGGGGCAGUGAUCAGAGCAAAACUGUUAUCGUAAAGGAAGAGUCUGCAACAAAAGAACAAGAUUGUCACAAAAAAGAUUCUCUUUUAGAAAGUAAUGCGCAAAUAAAUGAUAAUUCAGAAAGUAUCAAACAACCUUCAGAUGUAAGAGCCAAAUUUCGAGGUGCCAGAUUCGCAAAACAUCAUAAAACGCUUCGCAAAGAAAAGCGAUCUUUAAGGUUUAAGGCUAUGUGGGAAAAACGCAAGAAAUCAGUAGUACCAAAUGUAGGAGAAUCUGAUGAAUCUCUCAAUCAGUUAUCUCCGACAAUCAAAAGUUUCGUCAUCGAGUCAAAACAUCAUAUUCACAAAAAUAUAAACCAGGACAAGUCAGAAAGUGAAGAUCGUUCUCAAGAAUUUUUGAAAACAGACCAGUUUAAGAAUUUGGGCAGUCAAAAAUCUGUAAAUUCCGCUGAUGGAAGGAUAACAACAAUAUUGGGUCUCUCCACUUCUAAGAUUGAAACAUCUUUGGACAGCAGAAACUUAUCUCCUCCGGAAAUAGCAAAAGAUCUGUCGAUCCCACCAAAACCUUAUCCAUUACCUGCAAAAGUGUCAGAGCAGUCAAUUAGUGUUACACCUGCAGACGGCAAAAUUGUUUGGCCUAACUGCAAAGAAUUUGCCCACAGCAGUAAUAAUAAUAAUUUACAUUGUAAUGACAUUAUUUCAGAUAAUGAAUCAAAGGGUGCCUCAUUAAUUGGCAAGGAGAAAGAUGUAGCCCCGAAACUCAUCAGUACAGAAACUAUUAACAAAUCAAACCAUGGAAUUACAAAGUGUGAUGCUGUGAAAAGACGCCGUCGUUCUAUAAUACAUUGCAAGGCACUAAGAAAAAGACUUGCCAGUCAGCAGCGAUAUCUAGCUGCCAAACAAAAAGCUCUGGCUCUUAAAUCGAAAGCAGAAUGCGAGGAAGUCAGUCAAGAAUGUAACUCUAU